Molecule: long non-coding RNA, 588 nt
Organism: Perca fluviatilis (European perch)
Lineage: Eukaryota; Metazoa; Chordata; Actinopteri; Perciformes; Percidae
Exons: 3
Source: RefSeq, a predicted model, not a curated record
UUAUAUAUAUAUUAUAUAUCUAUCUCUAUAUACGUCACUGGACUUGUGUUUGUCCUCACUCUCAACGUGUAGUUCUACUUCCUCUCUGUCGGGACGCUAGUUAACACCACACUCAACAGCAGACUGGAGCUGCUGUUGUCUGAAACACAAGCUGUUUCUCAAUGUCAAGGAAAGGAUCCUUUGAAGCCAGAAUUUGGAGGAUGCUACGUCAUCGACGUCCGUCGAAGGACCGUUCCAAUGUCGAGGAUCCUCCGAAUCCCACCAAGGACUGAGUCCUUCGUUCGGAGAAUUUCCCAUAGACGGCAAAGGAUGCAUAUGUGUAUCCUUCGCGCUCCCAAAUCACCCACAAUCCUUUGCGCGCGGCUUUGUUGGCUUGUUUUAAAAAAUUAAAUGGUGGACCUAAGCGGGAGUUGGAGCGGUAUCGCUGACGGCGAAAUAAUCAUUUAAAUGGACAAACGGAGGCUGUCACUGAGGAUGGGAAAGCAAAAGACAAGCAGGGAGACAAGAGGCCAAAGAGAGAUGAAUAGCUAGAUUAUUUGCUAAAGCCUUUUAGAGAUUGGCAUUCUGAAAAUAAAUGCAUUAAAUUUA